RNAcentral lists this ribosomal RNA (253 nucleotides) under uncultured bacterium. RNAcentral's name for it is "partial 16S ribosomal RNA". It matches the Rfam family "Archaeal small subunit ribosomal RNA", at positions 474 to 727 of the family's 1478-position model. The record is from RNAcentral.
UACCAGCACCCCGAGCGGUCGGGACGAUUAUUGGGCCUAAAGCAUCCGUAGCCGGCUUUACAAGUCCCCCGUUAAAUCCAACUGCUUAACAGAUGGGCUGCGGAGGAUACUAUAAGACUAGGAGGCAGGAGAGGCAAGCGGUACUCAGUGGGUAGGGGUAAAAUCCGUUGAUCCAUUGAAGACCACCAGUGGCGAAGGCGGCUUGCCAGAAUGCGCUCGACGGUGAGGGAUGAAAGCUGGGGGAGCAAACCGG